This 639-nucleotide ribosomal RNA is filed under the name Phaeoacremonium minimum. Its description in RNAcentral is "eukaryotic LSU rRNA". It matches the Rfam family "Eukaryotic large subunit ribosomal RNA", at positions 1 to 665 of the family's 3401-position model. Lineage: Eukaryota; Fungi; Ascomycota; Sordariomycetes; Togniniales; Togniniaceae. The record is from RNAcentral.
GUUGACCUCGGAUCAGGUAGGAAUACCCGCUGAACUUAAGCAUAUCAAUAAGCGGAGGAAAAGAAACCAACAGGGAUUGCCCCAGUAACGGCGAGUGAAGCGGCAACAGCUCAAAUUUGAAAUCUGGCCUCGGCCCGAGUUGUAAUUUGCAGAGGAUGUUUCUGGCGCGGUGCCUUCUGAGUUCCCUGGAACGGGACGCCAUAGAGGGUGGGAGCCCCGUACGGUUGGACGCCUAGCCUGUGUGAAACUCCUUCGACGAGUCGAGUAGUUUGGGAAUGCUGCUCAAAAUGGGAGGUAUAUCUCUUCUAAAGCUAAAUACCGGCCAGAGACCGAUAGCGCACAAGUAGAGUGAUCGAAAGAUGAAAAGCACCUUGAAAAGGGGGUUAAACAGCACGUGAAAUUGUUGAAAGGGAAGCGCCCAUGACCAGACUUGUGCCCGGCGGAUCACCCAGCGUUCUCGCUGGGGCACUCCGCCGGGUCCAGGCCAGCAUCGGUUUUCGCCGGGGGAUAAAGGCUCUGGGAACGUAGCUCCUCCGGGAGUGUUAUAGCCCUCUGCGUAAUACCCUGGCGGGGACCGAGGUACGCGCUCCGCAAGGAUGCUGGCGUAAUGGUCAUCAGCGACCCGUCUUGAAACACGGA